This 67-nucleotide transfer RNA is filed under the name Treponema lecithinolyticum. It matches the Rfam family "tRNA". From Rfam's summary of the family: Transfer RNA (tRNA) molecules are approximately 80 nucleotides in length. Their secondary structure includes four short double-helical elements and three loops (D, anti-codon, and T loops). RNAcentral also lists the same sequence under 1 other name. The record is from RNAcentral. Lineage: Bacteria; Pseudomonadati; Spirochaetota; Spirochaetia; Treponematales; Treponemataceae.
CCCAUAGCUCAGUUGGUUAGAGCUGCGGACUCAUAAUCCGUCGGUCCCUGGUUCAAGUCCAGGUGGG